This is a non-coding RNA of Macaca mulatta (Rhesus monkey), 1567 nucleotides long. The record is from RefSeq and is a predicted model, not a curated record. Lineage: Eukaryota; Metazoa; Chordata; Mammalia; Primates; Cercopithecidae.
ACGACGCCGCAGGCCCCGGCCCGCGGCCGCUGAAUGGCGGAGACUGUCCCUGCACAGCUGUGCUUCCACCUGGCCUUCAGUGCCUCGUGCCCGAGAGCGGAAAAGGGAAAUCGCGAGCGGAGCACCGGUGUGCUGGCCACGUGGGCCCCGCCGGGCCGACUCGACCGUGCUGUCGCCCGCCGCUCCAGUGCUAAGGGACCUGGAAGAGAUCCCGGUGCAGCUCCGCUCCCACCAGCGAGGGAGCAGAGGCGCGGGAGGGAAGGGGCGUCCCGGGGGUCGCCAGCACGCUGGGGGCACGGCUGGCAGCCUCCCCCACGCCCCCACGCUGGAAGCCUCGUCUUUGUAACAUCCGGUGUCCUGUAACUAGAUGGGUCCUGUCCUGCGGAGGUGGUUUCCCCUGUGAAGCCAGAGAUUCACCCAGGAGCGUGAGGGGAGCCGGGUCCUGAACCCCCAAGCCGCCCACUACCCUCUACUUUACCGGAUGGAAUUCAUCAGUAACUAGCCAGGUCUGAGGUACAGUCAGUGAAUACCUGUUUAAUGAAUGCAUGCAUAAAUGAAUGAAUGGAUGAUCCAGCUCUUCCUGGAGCAGGCGCGACUUCCACAGAAACAAAAAGAGGGCAAACGCGAGCCGUAAGCAGAAGUGAGUCUUCUUCCUAUGUGAAGGGAUGUGGGGGUGGUCCGCCCUAUCUGUCCUUGAGCACCCGCCCGGACUAGAGGGGUGGGGGUGGCUCCACCCUUAACAAGCUUAAUUCUUGAUGAGAUUAACCAUCAGAACCCAUGAGAGAACGUUAUAGCUCCAGCGCUGAAUGGGACAUCUUUGAUUCUGUGGUGAUGCGGACUUUGUGCUUCUCUGUGAGGAAACACUUUGUUCCAACGACGCAAUUUUCCUCACACUCCGGAAGUGUCCUGCACUGCCAGAAUUGCCCAGCUUCCUGGCACACCUACCAACCAGUCAUUCCCAACACUGCCCAGUAUGCAGCCUCCCGGCAGAGGGCCUGGAUGUCUUGGCAGGUAGGGUUCCCCUAGCAGCCUGGGGUGGCCAGAUAGAAACAUUAACUGGAACUGGAGCACCGGUGUGUUGGCCACGUGGGCCCUGCCGGGCCGACUCCGGUCCCUGCUGCCGCCCACCGCUCCAGUGCAAGGGACCUGGAAGUGAUCCCGGUGCCGCUCCAGUUCCAGAUCCAGGGAGCCAGGAGGGCUCCGACUGGUGCACACACAAGCCACUCACACUGCUGUCGCCCACAUACCUUCCUCUCCUGCUAGCCCACCCCAAAGCCCAAACUCCUGCCCACAUGCUGGGAAGGUGAGGCCUUGCCUGGACAGCCCAGCAGGGAAAAUAGAAGGAGGGAAGUAGUCCCGCUGCUUUCCCAGAGCUCUGCUCUGCGGCUGCAGGAAGACCCGCAGAGGCCCUGGGCAGCAGGACUGUGGACAGCAAGGCCUGAGUGGUGAAACCCAACCACUCAACUGGAUUCCAGAAGCUCAGGUGGUGGUGACUAAACCUGGCCUUAAUCAAAAUGCAUGACUUUAUUGUCUUUCAAUGUAUUUUCAGUAAACUUCAUCCUCUCCA